Ochotona curzoniae (black-lipped pika) is the source of this 2522-nucleotide long non-coding RNA. RefSeq lists it as uncharacterized. The record is from RefSeq and is a predicted model, not a curated record. The transcript has 2 exons. Lineage: Eukaryota; Metazoa; Chordata; Mammalia; Lagomorpha; Ochotonidae.
CUGAGGUGGACGCGGCCCAGGGGCGCGGGCGGGCACGGGGGGCGCGGGCGCGCGCUCGGCGUUUCCUGUUCCUGUGCGCCGAGCCCCGCGGGCGCAGCUGCUGUCACUCAGGCGGCGCUCGGUCGGGCGCAGCCGGCUUCUCGGGCCUGUCGCCGCUGCCUCUGGCCAGGCUCUGAUUUGAGACAGUGAAAGGAUAAAACAUCGGUUUGAAACUCCGUCAGAGCAACAUGAAUUCUGUUAAGAUUGAAAUGAGAAGAAACAUCAAGUUCAUGGUGAAGCUUGGGUGGAAGAAUGAUGAAGUCAUGGAUGCUUUACGGAAGGUGUAUGGGGACAACGCCCCAGAGAAAUCAGCAGUCUACAAGUGGAUCAAUCGCUUCAAGGAGGGACGAGACGACGUCGAAGAUGAACUCCGCAGUUGCACCCCAUCCACGUCCAUUUGUGAGGAUAAAAAGUAAUCUAAUGCCUGCCAUGAUGAAAGGGACCAGCAAGUAACAGCAGAAGGAGGCAACACCGUGGAUAUUUCAAAUGUUUGGACUAUAUAACCCUGAAUGAAAAUUUUUAAAGUGGAGCAAACUUUCCACUUGACAUGUACCAAAAGUCUCGUAGCCAAAUCAGCUGCAUACAACACUAGAACUAUCCGUGGAAAUUUCAAACAAGUAGGUUCGAGAUCAUCCUUCUUCAAAGAGUUCUAACUGCAGGUAAAAUUUGGCUUAACCAGUAUGACCCUGACAACAAAAGACAAUCAAAGCAAUGGCUAUCAAGCGGAAGUGCAUCGGUCAGGAGUAUUGGAUAUGAAAAUAGUUUCAGAAGAGUGCUCAAGGGAUUUGCUUGUUGGGUUUCUGGAGGAAAUGGCAUCUCCUUGGAAUAAGAGUGCUCCAAGAAAGUUCAAGAGAAAGGCUUCCCUCACCACAGCCAUCUUGUUCAUUCCUCUCUUCCGGCAUGAGUGAUUUCCUGAGAGGUUUUUUGAGCUGUCAUUAAGCACCCACCUUCCCAGGAGUGCUUCGGCUUCUCCCUUCUUUUUCUUAACCUUAAAUCUUUAACCCAUUUUUCUUCAGUCACUAGUGUGUAAAAGACCACGUUGAUGUGGCUCAGUCGUUGAGAUCAUUAGUUCUUGAAGGAUAGGACGGAAGGGCUGGUACCAUCACUUGCAAGGUUUUGCACUUGAUAGUGAGAUACAGUGUGCAUUGUUUAGUUUUGCUCUCCGUUUCCCAGAAGCUUGACUUCCCGAAGGUUAAUCCUUCGGUGAGAGGUGACCCUUGGAGCACACUGGAAAGUAAUGGACAUAUACCCCAAGGACUAACACGAUGAUAGGUUUUCAGAAUAUCCUGCAUGGUAGACCCUGUGCUAUCACAUCCACUCGUGGUGACAGACAAAAACAACACAAUUUGAAUUUGUAGUGUAGUUCUACAACUAGAUGAACAUUUGCCAUUUCUUCCUAACAUUUUAGAGUCUGUAGAAAAUUGACAUUUUGCCUCACUUUCCUUAAAAAAAAAAAAAAUCCAUUUGGGGUCAGUGUUGAGGUAUAGCAGGUCAGACUGCCACUUACAAUACCAGCAUCCCAUAUGGGUGCCGAUUCAAGUCCCUGCUGCUCCAGUUCUGAUCCCAACUCCCUGCUAAUGAGCCUGGCAAAGCAGUGAAAGACAGCCCAAGAACAUGGGUCCCUACCACUCGUAAGGAAGACCCAGAUGGAGUUCCAGGCUUCUGCUUUUGGCUUGACCCCACUCUUAGCCAUUGCAACCAUGUGGAGAAUGAAUGAUUAGAUGGACAAUAACGCUUUUUCUGUGUUCUCUUCUUUGUAACUCUGCCUGUCAAAUAAAUAAAAUAAGUCUUACAUAAAAGUGCUUCUGGGAUCAGUGCUGCAGCAUACAGGUAAACUGCCACCUGCCGUGCCGGCCUCUCCUAUGGGCACAGGUUUGGUUUGCAUCCUGGCUGCUCUACUUCCAGUCCAGCUCCCUGCUAAUGCACCUGGGAGAGUAAUGAAGGGUAGCCUUGUCCCGAAGUGGGACACCUGAAAGAGGCCUCAGGCUCCUGGCUCAGGUCUGGCACAGCCCACUUGUGACCAUCUGGUGAGUGAACCAGCAGAUAGAUGGAAGAUUGAUUCUCUGUCCAUUCCGCUCCCUCUCUGUAACUUUGACUUUCAAAAAAAUUAAAUUUUUUUUCUUUAAAAAUUGCUACAAUUUGUAGGAAAUAGAGAUGAUCACUUCUACCAUGGUUGUAGUCAAAUAUAAACUUUCAGACUUGAUAGCCAUGGUAAUACUGAAGAUCUACUCUAAUUAUGCUUUAUUAUUAGAGAAAAAAAUUCACUAUUAAGCAAAUAUGGGGGAUAUAUGCCUGAAUAAAUAGCUUAAGUAGUAGCUAUAAUUGUUGCCAGUCUUGUAUGACCCACUACUUACCCAAAGCAAAUAAAUGAUUCCAUUUGUUAUUUCUAAUCCUGAAGUUGAAUUUUUUUUUUUGGAUGUGAAUUCAGAUAAGUUGGUCAGAAAAUUUUUACUUCUUCUUCAUUAAACUUCAUAUGUAAAAUC